UACGUAGGUGGCAAGCGUUGUCCGGAAUUGUUGGGCGUAAAGCGCGCGCAGGCGGUUUCUUAAGUCUGAUGUGAAAGCCCCCGGCUCAACCGGGGAGGGCCAUUGGAAACUGGGAGGCUUGAGUGCAGAAGAGGAGAGUGGAAUUCCAAGUGUAGCGGUGAAAUGCGUAGAGAUGUGGAGGAACACCAGUGGCGAAGGCGGCUCUUUGGUCUGUAACUGACGCUGAGGCGCGAAAGCGUGGGGAGCAAACAGG
Molecule: unclassified non-coding RNA, 253 nt
Filed under: uncultured Bacillaceae bacterium
Lineage: Bacteria; Bacillati; Bacillota; Bacilli; Caryophanales; Bacillaceae
Description: contains 16S-23S intergenic spacer region
Rfam family: Bacterial small subunit ribosomal RNA
Source: RNAcentral